Molecule: long non-coding RNA, 312 nt
Filed under: Cottoperca gobio
Lineage: Eukaryota; Metazoa; Chordata; Actinopteri; Perciformes; Bovichtidae
Description: lncRNA (ENSCGOG00000012606.1)
Source: RNAcentral
UUUCAUGCAUUGCCGUUGAAUGUUGUGUGUGAAAACAGGGUGAGGCAGGUGUGGGAGAAAAAGGAGAGAGAGGCAUGGAUGGACUCUCAGGAUUUAAGGGAGACAAAGGGGAAAUAGGAGAGCAAGGACCACAGGGAUCCAUGGGUUAUACUGGCGAAAAAGGCACCACAGGCUCCUCAGACAUCAUCGACUUCAAUGGGAAACUUCUAGAUGCUUUCCAGGUGAGUGACAUUAAAGCGUCAAUGAGACCAGAUUUAUGGUUGCAUCAUAUAUUCCAUCAGACAUGUGUUACUGAAUCUCAAGUUAGGCAUC